CAUGCUUUCCAAGGACCAAGUGCUAUAGUUCAGAGCUUGGGUAAAUGUGCAACCACGCUGCUUCCUCAGUGCUCCAAACAGAGAGAAUUCUUAUGCAAAUUUAAGAAUCUGCCCUUGUGGAGAGGAGCGAUCUCCUUUUACAACUGUCUGGGAUUUGUAUGGAGGUGGAAUUCGGCAGUUACAGAAAACCAGUAGGAGCCUUCUGAGCUCACAGAACCUCCAGAACAUCAGCUGGAAGUGCAGUGGCUGCAUCUGGAGACCCUGUGCCCCAGUCCUCGGGCUGAGCUUUGAAGAAGAGACCUCCAGCAGCACUGGUGAGUACAGAGAUGGCCACGGAGACAGAAAUGAAAGCGGCAGAGCACCGCGAGGGCACAGCCGAGGCUUGUGGAGACAGCGCUCCAACUCUCCAGACAGCACCUAUGAAUUAAGGAAGUCCAUGUGGAAAGAAGAGAGGAAUGCAAUUGAAAAAAAACAGAAUGGAGACCACAGGUAGUCUGGAUAAAAUGAAAGGGGCAGAAAGAGGAUGUUAAGGCUCCCGUUGCUUUGCUACCUUCGGUCCACCAUGAACUGUUGCCCCUCUGCCAUGCCAGCCUGCCGUGGAGCCAUUGUGGACUGAAGUCUCUACAAACUGCAAGGAGAAAAAGAUGAAAGUCAAAGAUGUUCCCAGGUUACACAGCUGAAAGUGAGGAAGUUGGUGGUUUCCUGACUCAAGAGAGUGGAGAAGACUGAACCCAAUGAGGCACUGAAAUGAAUUGGCUGCAACUUCUAGAAGGGAUCAUGCAUUUCUGAUUUUGAAGACCCUUAACCGAGACCUGCUUCUCUGUUUGCUUCCAGCACUAUGAAAACCCCAUGGAGAACAAGAAGAGUCAACCAUUAAGGUUAAGCAACUGAGCAAACAAAGAUGUGUUCUGCUAAGUCUGACUGCUUUUCAAAAGUGUUGCUAAAAUGCUGUAAUGUCACAGCUGGCCAAGUGUGGUCACAGAAGACACAUGGCAUGGGGAGCAAUGCCACCCUGGAUUCCCGUGUGAGCUGUGUCUCCAUCAGCCCAGUCAUUCAGUGGGCCGAGCUUCUCAUCAACACAGAGAUGGGCUGAGGCGGUCAAUUGGUGUACUCCAUUC
This 1118-nucleotide long non-coding RNA is filed under the name Heterocephalus glaber (naked mole-rat). RNAcentral's name for it is "lncRNA (ENSHGLG00000031248.2)". The record is from RNAcentral. Lineage: Eukaryota; Metazoa; Chordata; Mammalia; Rodentia; Bathyergidae.